UACAGAGGUCCCAAGCGUUGUUCGGAUUCACUGGGCGUAAAGGGUGCGUAGGCGGUCGGGUAAGUCUGACGUGAAGUCUUCAAGCUUAACUUGGAAACUGCGUCGGAUACUAUUCGGCUAGAGGAAUGGAGGGGAGACUGGAAUACUUGGUGUAGCAGUGAAAUGCGUAGAUAUCAAGUGGAACACCAGUGGCGAAGGCGAGUCUCUGGACAUUUCCUGACGCUGAGGCACGAAAGCCAGGGGAGCAAACGGG
RNAcentral lists this ribosomal RNA (253 nucleotides) under uncultured bacterium. RNAcentral describes it as "partial 16S ribosomal RNA". It matches the Rfam family "Bacterial small subunit ribosomal RNA", at positions 524 to 776 of the family's 1533-position model. The record is from RNAcentral.